UUUAGGUAGCGCCUCGUGAAUUCAUCUCCGGGGGUAGAGCACUGUUUCGGCAAGGGGGUCAUCCCGACUUACCAACCCGAUGCAAACUGCGAAUACCGGAGAAUGUUAUCACGGGAGACACACGGCGGGUGCUAACGUCCGUCGUGAAGAGGGAAACAACCCAGACCGCCAGCUAAGGUCCCAAAGUCAUGGUUAAGUGGGAAACGAUGUGGGAAGGCCCAGACAGCCAGGAUGUUGGCUUAGAAGCAGCCAUCAUUUAAAGAAAGCGUAAUAGCUCACUGGUCGAGUCGGCCUGCGCGGAAGAUGUAACGGGGCUAAACCAUGCACCGAAGCUGCGGCAGCGACGCUGAUGCGUUGUUGGGUA
This 364-nucleotide ribosomal RNA is filed under the name Escherichia coli. RNAcentral's name for it is "partial 23S ribosomal RNA". It matches the Rfam family "Bacterial large subunit ribosomal RNA", at positions 869 to 1230 of the family's 2925-position model. Lineage: Bacteria; Pseudomonadati; Pseudomonadota; Gammaproteobacteria; Enterobacterales; Enterobacteriaceae. The record is from RNAcentral.